RNAcentral lists this signal recognition particle RNA (298 nucleotides) under Saimiri boliviensis boliviensis (Bolivian squirrel monkey). RNAcentral describes it as "Metazoan signal recognition particle RNA (ENSSBOG00000007967.1)". It matches the Rfam family "Metazoan signal recognition particle RNA". From Rfam's summary of the family: The signal recognition particle (SRP) is a universally conserved ribonucleoprotein. It is involved in the co-translational targeting of proteins to membranes. The record is from RNAcentral. Lineage: Eukaryota; Metazoa; Chordata; Mammalia; Primates; Cebidae.
GCCAGGCGCGGUGGCAUGUGCCUGUAGUCCCAGCUACUCAGGAGGCUGAGGCAGGAGGAUUGCUUGAGUCCAGGAGUUCUGGGCUGUAGCGCGCUAUGCCAACUGGGUGUCUGCACUAAGUUUGGCAUCAAUAUGGUGACCUCCCGGGAGCAGGGACUACCAGGUUGCCUAAGGAGGGGUGAACCAGCCCAGGACGGAAAUGGGGCAGGUCAGAACUCCCAAGCUGAUCAGUAGCAGGAUUGCGCCUGUGAAUAGCCAAUGGACUCCAGCCUGGGCAACACAGCAAGACCCCAUCUCU